CGCGUAGGCGGUCUUGUCGGUCAGAUGUGAAAGCCCAGGGCUCAACCCUGGACGUGCAUUUGAAACAGCAAGACUUGAGUACGGGAGAGGAAAGCGGAAUUCCUGGUGUAGAGGUGAAAUUCGUAGAUAUCAGGAGGAACACCGAUGGCGAAGGCAGCUUUCUGGACUGAUACUGACGCUGAGGCGCGAAGGCGUGGGUAGCGAACAGGAUUAGAUACCCUGGUAGUCC
Molecule: ribosomal RNA, 229 nt
Filed under: uncultured bacterium
Lineage: Bacteria
Description: partial 16S ribosomal RNA
Rfam family: Bacterial small subunit ribosomal RNA
Source: RNAcentral